UACAGGGGGGGCAAGCGCUGUUCGGAAUUACUGGGCGUAAAGGGUUCGUAGGUGGCUUACUAAGUCAGACGUGAAAUCCCUCAGCUUAACUGGGGAACUGCGUCUGAUACUGGAAAGCUUGAGUGCAGGAGAGGAACGCGGAAUUCCCGGUGUAGAGGUGAAAUUCGUAGAUAUCGGGAGGAACACCAGUGGCGAAGGCGGCGACCUGGGCCAAUACUGACGCUGAGGUGCGAAAGCGUGGGGAGCAAACAGG
Molecule: ribosomal RNA, 253 nt
Filed under: uncultured bacterium
Lineage: Bacteria
Description: partial 16S ribosomal RNA
Rfam family: Bacterial small subunit ribosomal RNA
Source: RNAcentral